This 1739-nucleotide long non-coding RNA is filed under the name Homo sapiens (human). RNAcentral's name for it is "HSALNT0390114". The record is from RNAcentral. Lineage: Eukaryota; Metazoa; Chordata; Mammalia; Primates; Hominidae.
CUACGAACCCCACGGGAGGGGUCAGUGCCCACCAGCAGGCUCCUUGGCACCAAGCCUCCAUCUUCUUCCCGGGGUGGAGGGAGAUGUCAAGCCUAGAAGCCUCAGCUGGCCUGUUCUUGGGCGCCUGGCCUACCACCCGCCCCAGCCUCACCCGCAGGGUCUCCAACUCCUUGCGCGCCUGGCUUAGCUGUUUUUCCAGUUCUGCAAUCUUGGCCAUGGAUUCGUUCUCCGCGUCCCGAAGCCGCUCUGUCAGCUGUAGCACCAGCACAUGGUGAGCCCCGACCCGCAGCCCGGCACUGGCACCGCCGGUGAGGGGGCGGCAUCAGGCAUGCCUGCCUGGAAGACUGGGGGAGGCUCCCAGAUCCGCUCAGCCCAGGUGCCAAGGGUGGGCCGAGCCUGGCACUCGAACCCAAGCAAAUAAGGAGAGGAAACCAAGUUCCUCCAUGUGCUCCAGCACAGCGUUCUUGGUCUCUGUGUCCUCCAGCAGCGCCCCCACAUCAAAAAUAUUGUCCAGAUGGCAAAACUGACACUGAGAGAGAGGAAGAGGCCUAUCCAAGGUCACACGGCAGGCAACGGCAGAGCCAGGAUUUAAACCCAGGUCUACCUGACCCCAGCACUCAUGCUGCUAACCACUCAGCCAUACUCUGCCGUGGGCAGGCAGUUCAGUCUGGGGGGCAGUACAGGGCUUACCUCCAAGUACAGGUCCAGGCCCAAGUGGGUGAACUCAUAUUGCAGGAAGACACGGAAGUUCAUGUUCUCCACCGAAUGUACCACAAUGUUGAUGAACUGCAUGCAGGCCACCUGGGAGCCAGGGACAUGGGGAGAUCUAUGAUCCUCUAGGUGGGGUUGCUCAAUGCCUUCCACCUCCACUUACCCCAAGCCUCCCUCCUUCUCCACAGUUCUCACUCCACUAACUCCCAGCCUUGGCCUGCCCAACAUUUCACCUCCAUGUUCCCUCAAUCCAGCCCCCUGCCAACAUCCACCCUUCCCCUACUGACCACUCAGUCCUUACGCUUUGCGGGGGCAGAGCCCAUUGCCCAGCACCCAGGACCCUAGCUGCUCCCUGCACCCAAGAGGGCCUGGCCCAGGCCUCAGGCUGCUGGGCUCCUGAGCUCACCAUGAAGUCGAUGUUGCUGUCCUCAUUCCGGAAAUAUUCCAUCAGCUUUUCAAAGCGGUGCUGCUCCCCACACACCUGGGUAAGGGGAAUGGCUCUCACUGAGGCCCAGUGACACACGUCCUAAGCUACCUUCUGGCUGCCACACCUGUGCUUCAACAGGCUCCUCUCCAGUUAAUUCUAAGUUGAGCCACGUCACUCUUCUGCUCAAAACCUCCACUCCCUCUCAAUCUCCCACUCUCCCUCACUUUUUCCACUCUGGCCACACUGGCAUCCUGGCACAUUCCCACCCCAGGGCCUUUGCACUUACUGUUCCAACUCCCUGGAGUGCCCUCACUCCCACACCAAGUCCCUUGCUUCCUUCACAGCUUUGCUGAAAUCUCACUUGCUCAGUGAGGCCUUCCCUGACCACCCUGCAACCAAUUCCCCCUCCCUCUGCAACAUUGCUGGCUUUUUUCUCACAGCAUUUAUCAUUUCCUAACAUACUAUGUAAUUUGCUUGUUUAUUAUAUCGUUUCUGUCUUUCCCUAUAUGGUUUCCUUUGUUCACUGAUGUGCCCAAGUGCCCUGUUCCUGACACAUAGUAGGCACUCAAUAAAUAUUCAUUAAAGGAAUGAAUGAAUGAAG